GCGCUUGUAGCUCAGUUUGGAUAGAGCACAUGCCUUCUAAGCCUGUUGUCGAGGGUUCGACUCCCCCCAAGCGCGCCA
This 78-nucleotide transfer RNA is filed under the name Mycoplasma sp. RNAcentral's name for it is "tRNA-Arg". It matches the Rfam family "tRNA". Rfam says of the family: Transfer RNA (tRNA) molecules are approximately 80 nucleotides in length. Their secondary structure includes four short double-helical elements and three loops (D, anti-codon, and T loops). Further hydrogen bonds mediate the characteristic L-shaped molecular structure. tRNAs have two regions of fundamental functional importance: the anti-codon, which is responsible for specific mRNA codon recognition, and the 3' end, to which the tRNAs corresponding amino acid is attached (by aminoacyl-tRNA synthetases). tRNAs cope with the degeneracy of the genetic code in two manners: having more than one tRNA (with a specific anti-codon) for a particular amino acid; and 'wobble' base-pairing, i.e. permitting non-standard base-pairing at the 3rd anti-codon position. The record is from RNAcentral. Lineage: Bacteria; Bacillati; Mycoplasmatota; Mollicutes; Mycoplasmatales; Mycoplasmataceae.